GGGCCCAUAGCUCAACGGUUAGAGCAGCGGACUCAUAAUCCGUUGGUUCGGAGUUCGAAUCUCUGUGGGCCCA
RNAcentral lists this transfer RNA (73 nucleotides) under Fidelibacterota bacterium. RNAcentral describes it as "tRNA-Ile". It matches the Rfam family "tRNA". From Rfam's summary of the family: Transfer RNA (tRNA) molecules are approximately 80 nucleotides in length. Lineage: Bacteria; Pseudomonadati; Fidelibacterota. RNAcentral also lists the same sequence under 1 other name. The record is from RNAcentral.